RNAcentral lists this ribosomal RNA (800 nucleotides) under uncultured bacterium. RNAcentral describes it as "bacterial SSU rRNA". It matches the Rfam family "Bacterial small subunit ribosomal RNA", at positions 78 to 897 of the family's 1533-position model. The record is from RNAcentral.
CUAUAAUUGUCAGCUAAGUGGCGCACGGGUGAGUAAUGUAUAGAUAACCUGCCCUUAAGAAAGGAAUAACAGUUGGAAACGACUGCUAAUGCCCUAUAUGCCUUUAAUACAUAAGUAUGCAAGGGAAACGCUUUAGUGCUUAAGGAUGGGUCUGUAUGGUAUCAGCUUGUUGGUGAGGUAAUGGCUCACCAAGGCUAUGACGCCUAACUGGUUUGAGAGGAUGAUCAGUCACACUGGAACUGAGACACGGUCCAGACUCCUACGGGAGGCAGCAGUGGGGAAUAUUGCACAAUGGACGAAAGUCUGAUGCAGCAACGCCGCGUGGAGGAUGACACAUUUCGGUGCGUAAACUCCUUUUAUAUAGGAAGAUAAUGACGGUACUAUAUGAAUAGGCACCGGCUAACUCCGUGCCAGCAGCCGCGGUAAUACGGAGGGUGCAAGCGUUACUCGGAAUCACUGGGCGUAAAGAGCGUGUAGGCGGGUAUAUAAGUCAGAAGUGAAAUCCAAUAGCUCAACUAUUGAACUGCUUUUGAAACUGUAUACCUAGAAUGUGGGAGAGGUAGAUGGAAUUUCUGGUGUAGGGGUAAAAUCCGUAGAGAUCAGAAGGAAUACCGAUUGCGAAGGCGAUCUACUGGAACAUUAUUGACGCUGAGACGCGAAAGCGUGGGGAGCAAACAGGAUUAGAUACCCUGGUAGUCCACGCCCUAAACGAUGUACACUAGUUGUUGUGAGGCUCGACCUUGCAGUAAUGCAGUUAACACAUUAAGUGUACCGCCUGGGGAGUACGGUCGCAAGAUUAA